GGCGCUUCCGGCCUGGCGGCCCGGGCGGGGUACGCAGAAGUGAGCCGGAAAGGGAGGGCGACGGGAGGACGCGAGGCUUCCGGCUUUGCUGUCCGGCGGCUGGCUGCUGCGGCUGCGUAUUUAUCUAAAUUCAACGACCAUUGAAAAUUCAAAAGGACACAGACAGCUCUGAACUCUCAAAAUGUAUGGAAUAGAUUUAUCCUCAAACCUUGAAUGACUCCACCAUGAACUGAGAAUCAACCAGGAAAACUCCACAGACUCGGAACUCCCACUGUUCUAGCUGCUGGACCAGCUGUUUCAUCACAGG
This is a long non-coding RNA of Manis pentadactyla (Chinese pangolin), 307 nucleotides long. RefSeq lists it as uncharacterized. The record is from RefSeq and is a predicted model, not a curated record. The transcript is spliced from 3 exons. NCBI's taxonomy places the organism in Eukaryota, Metazoa, Chordata, Mammalia, Pholidota, Manidae.